AUGAGGAGACUUCUGAGGGUUUUCUCACUGGAAAGUGGUGACCCGGCAGGCAACCUUCCUCUUAGUGUCUCCAGGAGAGGGAGUUUCCAUCGCCUGCCGGGAAGCAGCAAAAACCAGGGAAGCUUCCAAAGAUCUACCGUGUGUUUCAUCCACUUCGGCCACAACCACACCCCAACCCCCAGCUUGGUGCAGUGGCCGUGGGGGCAGGCUCUGUGCUCAACAGUGAUCAGCUGAUUGUCCUGGUGACAGUGCUAGUUAUUACUGUCAAAAACGAAACUGUUCAUGUGACAUGCUGUCCGCCCGGUCAGGGGCAGCGGAUCUGGACAGACGUCGCCCUCACCAUCCACCACCAAGAUGCUUUCAGGAGAACAGGC
This 374-nucleotide long non-coding RNA is filed under the name Zalophus californianus (California sea lion). RNAcentral describes it as "lncRNA (ENSZCAG00015011093.1)". The record is from RNAcentral. Lineage: Eukaryota; Metazoa; Chordata; Mammalia; Carnivora; Otariidae.